GACGAACGCUGGCGGCGUGCUUAACACAUGCAAGUCGAACGGUGAAGCGCCUUCCUUUUUGGUGGGUGUGGAUGAGUGGCGAACGGGUGAGUAACACGUGAGUAACCUGCCCCCUUCUUCUGGAUAACCGCAUGAAAGUGUGGCUAAUACGGGAUAUUCUGGGUCUGUCGCAUGAUGGGUCUGGGAAAGAUAUUGUUUCGGUGGGGGAUGGGCUCGCGGCCUAUCAGCUUGUUGGUGGGGUGAUGGCCUACCAAGGCGGUGACGGGUAGCCGGCCUGAGGGGGGUGCACGGUCACACGGGGACGGGAAACCGGCCCGACUACCAAGGGAGGGCGCCGGUGGGAAUAGUUGAAAAUGGGGGGAAGGCCGGAGGCGGGGAGGCCGGGUAGGGAUGGAGGCCCUCCGGGUGGGAAACCUUUUUGCCAGUGAAGCAGGCCUGCCUCGUUUGUGGGUGGGUUGACGGUAGCUGGAUAAGAAGCGCCGGCUAACUACGUG
Molecule: ribosomal RNA, 494 nt
Filed under: uncultured bacterium
Lineage: Bacteria
Description: partial 16S ribosomal RNA
Rfam family: Bacterial small subunit ribosomal RNA
Source: RNAcentral